UUUAACUGAGCGUUCAGUUACUUGACGUAGACCCGAAACCGGGCGACCUACCCAUGAGCAGGAUGAAGCGAAAGUAAAAUUUCGUGGAGGUCCGAACCCACGAGCGUUGAAAAGCUCGGGGAUGACGUGUGGGUAGCGGUGAAAUUCCAAUCGAGCCCGGAGAUAGCUGGUUCUCCCCGAAAUAGCUUUAGGGCUAGCCUCAAGGUGAGAGAUACGGAGGUAGAGCACUGAAUGUCCUAGGGGGUAUUGCACCUACCGAAGACUAUCAAACUCCGAAUGCCGUCAUCUUAUACUUGGGAGUCAGACUGUGGGUGAUAAGAUUCAUAGUCGAAAGGGCAACAGCCCAGAUCGUCAGCUAAGGUCCCUAAAUGUAAGUUAAGUGGUAAAGGAUGUGGGAUUGCACAGACAACCAGGAUGUUGGCUUAGAAGCAGCCACUCAUUCAAAGAGUGCGUAAUAGCUCACUGGUCGAGUGAUCCUGCGCCGAAGAUUUCCGGGGCUAAAACUUACUACCGAAGCUACGGCAUCAGUAAUGAUGGGUAGGGGAGCUUCCCAUACGGGUUGAAGCAUGACCGUAAGGACAUG
RNAcentral lists this ribosomal RNA (583 nucleotides) under Clostridioides difficile. Its description in RNAcentral is "bacterial LSU rRNA". It matches the Rfam family "Bacterial large subunit ribosomal RNA", at positions 683 to 1273 of the family's 2925-position model. Lineage: Bacteria; Bacillati; Bacillota; Clostridia; Peptostreptococcales; Peptostreptococcaceae. The record is from RNAcentral.